UUUUGGCCCCAUAUGUUUUGCCUCUUUUGCACUUUUGGCCCCCUAGGCCAAUUUUGACCAAGUCAAUGCUGAUGUGGCGCCAUGUGUGUAAUUUUUUUUAUUUUUUUAAUCAUUAAAAGAAUAAAAAAAUACUUUUAAAAUUUUUUUAAUUAAAAAAAUAAAAUAAAAAAUACUUUUUUUUAUAAAAAAAAAAAAUAAUAAAAAAAUUACACACGUGGCGCCACGUCGGCAUUGACUUGGUCAAAAUUGGCCUAGGGGACCAAAAGUGCAAAGGAGGCAAAACAUAGGGGGCCAAAA
RNAcentral lists this microRNA precursor (297 nucleotides) under Medicago truncatula (barrel medic). Its description in RNAcentral is "MIR2619 microRNA precursor family". It matches the Rfam family "MIR2619 microRNA precursor family". Lineage: Eukaryota; Viridiplantae; Streptophyta; Magnoliopsida; Fabales; Fabaceae. The record is from Rfam by way of RNAcentral.